RNAcentral lists this transfer RNA (72 nucleotides) under Podarcis lilfordi (Lilford's wall lizard). Its description in RNAcentral is "tRNA.Val". The stretch from base 1 to 62 matches the Rfam family "tRNA". Rfam says of the family: Transfer RNA (tRNA) molecules are approximately 80 nucleotides in length. Their secondary structure includes four short double-helical elements and three loops (D, anti-codon, and T loops). Lineage: Eukaryota; Metazoa; Chordata; Lepidosauria; Squamata; Lacertidae. The record is from RNAcentral.
AGGGCUGUAGCUCAUUGGUAGAGCAUCUGCUUCACAUGCAGAAGGUCCCAGGUUCAAUCCUCAGUGGCAUAA